GAUCCUGGCUCAGGAUGAACGCUGGCGGCGUGCCUAAUACAUGCAAGUCGAACGCUGGAAAUCUAGCUUGCUAGAUUGAAGGAGUGGCGAACGGGUGAGUAAUACAUAAGCAACCUGCCCACGGAGACUGGGAUAAUCUCUGGAAACGGGGACUAAUACCGGAUAGGUAAUCGGAAGGCAUCUUCUGAUUAUUAAAGGUUAAAAACACUGGUGGAUGGGCUUAUGGCGCAUUAGUUAGUUGGUG
RNAcentral lists this ribosomal RNA (244 nucleotides) under uncultured bacterium. RNAcentral describes it as "partial 16S ribosomal RNA". It matches the Rfam family "Bacterial small subunit ribosomal RNA", at positions 15 to 254 of the family's 1533-position model. The record is from RNAcentral.